Molecule: ribosomal RNA, 471 nt
Filed under: uncultured bacterium
Lineage: Bacteria
Description: SSU rRNA
Rfam family: Bacterial small subunit ribosomal RNA
Source: RNAcentral
AGCCUGAACGCUGGCGGCGUGGCUAAGACAUGCAAGUCGAACGGAUAUAGCAAUAUAUCAGUGGCGGACGGGUGAGUAAUAAAUCGCUAAUGUACCCCGGAGCCAGGGAUAGCUGCCCGAAAGGGCAGGUAAUACCUGAUGAGACCACGAACAGGCAUCUGUUUGUGCUCAAAGCCGUAAGGCACUCUGGGAGCAGGCGAUUACGUAUCAGCUUGUUGGUGAGGUAACGGCUCACCAAGGCAACGACGCGUAGCUGGUCUGAGAGGACGGCCAGCCACAUUGGGACUGAGACACUGCCCAGACUCCUACGGGGGGCUGCAGUAACGAAUCUUCCGCAAUGCACGAAAGUGUGACGGAGCGACGCCGCGUGUAGGAUGAAGUCCUUCGGGAUGUAACUACUGUCGAGGGAAAGAAGUUCUGAUCUACCCAGAGGAAGAGACGGCUAACUCUGCGCCAGCAGCCGCGGUAACU